GUUUCUGGGCCCACUAUGUGCCUCAGUAAUGUGUUCCACUGCCACUCAAUUACUAGGAUAUGUGGGGUCCGCUGCCACUCACAGGAUGUGCAUGGCGUCCACUACCGUUCAUAACUGGAGCUGAACAUGGAGAGGACAGAAGAUUCAGGUGCUGUUAACCGAGACACUGUGACUGGAGUUGUGCAUUGGCCAGCCUCUGGUACACUGGUCAAAGCACUGCUGGUACUCUCUAGCUCUGUCUGAGCAAAUGUAGAAUGGAGAUCCACACCAGGAAGUUGUGAGGAACCGAUACUGGAUUUCAAGUUGGAUUUUCUGAAGAACAAAAAGAUAAACAAAAAUUUAAGGUUAUAUAUUUAAUUAUAUAUUUUAUAUCCACAUUCUAGAAAAUGUCAUGCAUUCAACAAACAUGCAUGCAUUAGUUAUAGACAAAGUUAUAGCUCUAUGAUAUUAAAACGCUUAGAGCUGCACAUUAAGUUACUUUAUUCCUCAAAAUCCAGAACUAACACCAAUCACAUUUAACUUUAUAUUCAUUAAAGGUAUUUGUCAAGAAUUAUUACCAAAGGCUUAACUCAAAGACAAUAAAUUAAACAGUAAUUUCCAUUACAAUUAUCUUUUAACACCAAGUGCAA
Molecule: non-coding RNA, 629 nt
Organism: Procambarus clarkii (red swamp crayfish)
Lineage: Eukaryota; Metazoa; Arthropoda; Malacostraca; Decapoda; Cambaridae
Source: RefSeq, a predicted model, not a curated record